UGAUGACGAGACGCUAAGGCGUUGAAGCAGUGUAUGUCAGACUUCCAAGAAAAGCUCGCAAUGUCACAAAUAAAAAGUGCCUGUACCAUAACCGACACAGGUGGGUAGGUAGAGUAUACUAAGGGGCGCGAGAUAACUCUCUCUAAGGAACUCGGCAAGAUGACUCCGUAACUUCGGGAGAAGGAGUGCCUUAUUUAUAAGGUUGCAAUAACAAGAUCCAAGCAACUGUUUAUCAAAAACACAGGUCUCCGCUAAGUCGUAAGACGAUGUAUGGGGGCUGACGCCUGCCCAGUGCCAGAAGGUUAAAGAAGUUGGUUAGUGUAUGCGAAGCUGAUGACUGAAGCCCUGGUGAACGGCGGCCGUAACGAUAACGGUCCUAAGGUAGCAAAAUUCCUUGUCGGGUAAGUUCCGACCCGCACGAAAGGCGUAAUGAUUUGGAUACUGUCUCGGAGAGAGGCUCGGUGAAAUAGACUUGUCUGUGAAGAUGCGGACUACCUGCACCAGGACAGAAAGACCCUAUGAAGCUUUACUGUAACUUGAAAUUGGAAUUGGACUUUGCUUGCGCAGUAUAGGUGGGAAGCGUUGAAAAUAUUCUUGCGGGAGUAUUGGAGCUAUCAGUGAGAUACCACUCUUGUAAUGUUAGAUUUCUAACUUUGAACCAUAAUCUGGUCAAAGAACAGUUUCAGGUGGGCAGUUUGACUGGGGCGGUCGCCUCCCAAAUGGUAACGGAGGCGUACAAAGGUUUCCUCUGAACGGAUAGAAAUCGUAUCUAGAGUGUAAAGGCAUAAGGAAGCUUGACUGUGAGACCUACAAGUCGAGCAGGGACGAAAGUCGGUCUUAGUGAUCUGACGGUACUGAGUGGAAAGGCCGUCACUCAACGGAUAAAAGUUACUCUAAGGAUAACAGGCUGAUCUCCCCCAAGAGUUCACAUCGACGGGGAGGUUUGGCACCUCGAUGUCGGCUCAUCGCAUCCUGGGGCGGUAGUACGUCCCAAGGGUUGGGCUGUUCGCCCAUGAAAGCGGUACGCGAGCUGGGUUCAGAACGUCGUGAGACAGUUCGGUCCAUAUCCGGUGUAGGCGCUAGAAUAUUGAGAGGAGCCUUCUUUAGUACGAGAGGACCGAGAAGGACACACCGCUGGUGUACCAGUUAUCGUGCCAACGGUAAACGCUGGGUAGCUAUGUGUGGAGUGGAUAACCGCUGAAAGCAUCUAAGUGGGAAGCCCACCUCGAGAUGAGUA
Molecule: ribosomal RNA, 1237 nt
Filed under: metagenome
Description: bacterial LSU rRNA
Rfam family: Bacterial large subunit ribosomal RNA
Source: RNAcentral